UCGGUCCCGGUUCACGGACGGCAGCCCGCCGCCCGACCCGGAGCC
RNAcentral lists this non-coding RNA (45 nucleotides) under Streptacidiphilus jeojiense. Its description in RNAcentral is "L31-Actinobacteria ribosomal protein leader". It matches the Rfam family "L31-Actinobacteria ribosomal protein leader". The record is from RNAcentral. Lineage: Bacteria; Bacillati; Actinomycetota; Actinomycetes; Kitasatosporales; Streptomycetaceae.